This is a long non-coding RNA of Corvus hawaiiensis (hawaiian crow), 367 nucleotides long. RefSeq lists it as uncharacterized. The record is from RefSeq and is a predicted model, not a curated record. The transcript has 3 exons. Lineage: Eukaryota; Metazoa; Chordata; Aves; Passeriformes; Corvidae.
ACAUCCAAUAGAUGUGUUGAGAGGAUGAAAGCGGGGUGUCGGGUCGGGGCUUACUGGGAGGGAAUAUUGAGUCAGCUUCAGAGAUGGAGCUACCCAAGAAGGGGCUCCUAAGGCCACAUGAAGGGAAAGUUUCACUUCAGAUCAUAAUGCCGAGAUGCAGAUGGAUUAAAGCUGUGGCAGAGCACCCCACAUCGGAUGAGGGGGUUCCCGCAGGAAGGGUCGGUGCUGUUCACUGCAGGCUCUGUCGCAGCAUGAGUCCAGCAGCUGGGUACCCACAGAGGUCCUGCUGGGGUAAUGUCCUGGGUUGCAGUGUAUUCUGUUACCAUCCUCAUGAGCUGUUGAAACCAGGUGGGGCAGUGUUUCCUUG